This 699-nucleotide ribosomal RNA is filed under the name Escherichia sp. RNAcentral describes it as "partial 16S rRNA". Lineage: Bacteria; Pseudomonadati; Pseudomonadota; Gammaproteobacteria; Enterobacterales; Enterobacteriaceae. The record is from RNAcentral.
UUCGUCCAGGGGGCCGCCUUCGCCACCGGUAUUCCUCCAGAUCUCUACGCAUUUCACCGCUACACCUGGAAUUCUACCCCCCUCUACGAGACUCAAGCUUGCCAGUAUCAGAUGCAGUUCCCAGGUUGAGCCCGGGGAUUUCACAUCUGACUUAACAAACCGCCUGCGUGCGCUUUACGCCCAGUAAUUCCGAUUAACGCUUGCACCCUCCGUAUUACCGCGGCUGCUGGCACGGAGUUAGCCGGUGCUUCUUCUGCGGGUAACGUCAAUGAGCAAAGGUAUUAACUUUACUCCCUUCCUCCCCGCUGAAAGUACUUUACAACCCGAAGGCCUUCUUCAUACACGCGGCAUGGCUGCAUCAGGCUUGCGCCCAUUGUGCAAUAUUCCCCACUGCUGCCUCCCGUAGGAGUCUGGACCGUGUCUCAGUUCCAGUGUGGCUGGUCAUCCUCUCAGACCAGCUAGGGAUCGUCGCCUAGGUGAGCCGUUACCCCACCUACUAGCUAAUCCCAUCUGGGCACAUCCGAUGGCAAGAGGCCCGAAGGUCCCCCUCUUUGGUCUUGCGACGUUAUGCGGUAUUAGCUACCGUUUCCAGUAGUUAUCCCCCUCCAUCAGGCAGUUUCCCAGACAUUACUCACCCGUCCGCCACUCGUCAGCAAAGAAGCAAGCUGCUUCCUGUUACCGUUCGACUUGCAUGUGUUA